GUCGGCGUCGGCAUCUGCAUCGGCGUUGCACUUGUUCACAAGCUGACCCUGUAUAGCAAGAAACAUAACUCCAUCUUGAUUUUUGCAAGAUUUAUGGCCCCUUUUGUACUUAGAAAAUAUCAGAUUUCUUGGUUAAGUUUUAUGUUUAGGUCAACUUUUCUCCUAAACUAUCAAAGCUAUUGCUUUGAAACUUGAAAUACUUGUUCACCAUCAUAAGCAGACCCUGUACAUCAAGAAACAUAACCCCAUCUUGCUUUUUGCAAGAAUUAUUGCCCCUUUUGGACUUAGAAAAUCAGUUUUCUUGGUUAAGUUUUAUGUUUAGGUCAACUUUUUCUCUUAAACUAUCAAAGCUAUUGCUUUGAAACUUGCAACACUUGUUCACCAUCAUAAGCUGACCCUGUACAGCAAGCAACAUAACUCCAUCCUGCUUUUUUGCAAUAAUUAUUGCCCCUUUUGGACUUAGAAAAUCAUUUUCUUGGUUGAGUAUUAUGUUUAAGUCAACUUUUCUCAUAAACUAUCAAAGCUAUUGCUUUAAAACUUGCAACAGUUUUUCACCAUCAUAAGUGGACACUGAACAUCAAGAAACAUAACUCUAUCCUGCUUUUUGCAAGAAUGAUGCCCCUUUUUAGACUUAGAAAAUCAUGGGUAGGACAAUAUUUCUA
Mercenaria mercenaria is the source of this 662-nucleotide long non-coding RNA. RefSeq lists it as uncharacterized. The transcript is spliced from 2 exons. NCBI's taxonomy places the organism in Eukaryota, Metazoa, Mollusca, Bivalvia, Venerida, Veneridae. The record is from RefSeq and is a predicted model, not a curated record.